AGGACGAACGCUGGCGGCGUGCCUAAUACAUGCAAGUCGAGCGAACCGAUGAAGAGCUUGCUCUUCAAAGGUGAGCGGCGGACGGGUGAGUAACACGUGGGCAACCUGCCUGCAAGAUCGGGAUAAUUCCGGGAAACCGGGGCUAAUACCGGAUGAUGCAUUUCGCUGCAUGGCGGAAUGCUAAAAGGCGGCUUCGGCUGUCACUUGCAGAUGGGCCCGCGGCGCAUUAGCUAGUUGGGGAGGUAACGGCUCCCCAAGGCGACGAUGCGUAGCCGACCUGAGAGGGUGAUCGGCCACACUGGGACUGAGACACGGCCCAGACUCCUACGGGAGGCAGCAGUAGGGAAUUUUCCGCAAUGGGCGCAAGCCUGACGGAGCAAACCGCCGCGUGAGUGAGGACGGCUUUCGGGUUGUAAAACUCUGUUCUUCGGGAAGAACGGUGGUCGGGUGAAUAGCCCGAUUGCGUGACGGUACCGAAGGAGAAAGCCCCGGCUAACUACGUGCCAGCCGCAGC
Molecule: ribosomal RNA, 514 nt
Filed under: uncultured bacterium
Lineage: Bacteria
Description: bacterial SSU rRNA
Rfam family: Bacterial small subunit ribosomal RNA
Source: RNAcentral